AGGACAAACGCUGGCGGGGUGCAUGAGACAUGCAAGUCGAACGAGGUGCCAUCGGGCUUGCUCGAUGGUUACCGAGUGGCGGACGGCUGAGUAACGCGUAGGUGACCUACCCGGAAGUGGGGAAUAACUGCCCGAAAGGGUGGCUAAUACCGCAUGUGGUCGGCGAUUCAUGUCGCCGUCUAAAGGAGAAAUCCGCUUCCGGCGGGGCCUGCGUCCGAUUAGCUAGUUGGUGGGGUAACGGCUCACCAAGGCGACGAUCGGUAGCUGGUCUGAGAGGAUGAUCAGCCAGACUGGGACUGAGAACGGCCCAGACUCCUACGGGAGGCAGCAGUCGGGAAUUUGCCAAUGGACGAAAGUCUGAGGCAGCAACUCCGCGUGAGGAUGAAGGCUCGUCGGGUCGUAAACCUUCUUUUCUCGAGGAAGAUCCAAGCGUACCUGAGAAUAAGCGACGGACUAACUACGUGCAGCAGCCGC
This 474-nucleotide ribosomal RNA is filed under the name uncultured soil bacterium. Its description in RNAcentral is "bacterial SSU rRNA". It matches the Rfam family "Bacterial small subunit ribosomal RNA", at positions 26 to 518 of the family's 1533-position model. The record is from RNAcentral.